RNAcentral lists this ribosomal RNA (806 nucleotides) under uncultured Legionella sp. Its description in RNAcentral is "bacterial SSU rRNA". It matches the Rfam family "Bacterial small subunit ribosomal RNA", at positions 253 to 1053 of the family's 1533-position model. Lineage: Bacteria; Pseudomonadati; Pseudomonadota; Gammaproteobacteria; Legionellales; Legionellaceae. The record is from RNAcentral.
UGGGCGUACGGGCUACCACGACAACGAACGGCAGCUGGCCUGAGAGGAUGACCAGCCACACUGCAACUGACACACAGUCCCGACUCCUACUGGAAGCAACACUGGGGAAUAUUGGACAAUGGCGGCAACCCUGAUCCAGCCAUGCCGCGUGUGUGAACAACGCCUGAGGGUUGCAAAGCACUUUCAGUGGGGAGGAGGGUGGAUAAGUCCAGAGAUAACUACAUGCUCGACAUUCCAAUGCAACUGCCCGGCGCGCCCACCCCGCUCAUGCACGGCCUGGGUUACGGGGAGAGCUAAACUCGUAAUUACUGGGCGUAAAGGGUGCGUACGUGGUUGAUUAAAUUAUCUGUGAGAUUCCUGGGCUUAACCUGGGACGGCCAGAUAAUACUGGUAGACUCUAGUAUGGGAGAGGGUAGUGGAAUUUCCGGUGUCGCGGUGACCUGCGUAGAGAUCGGAAGGAACACCAGUGGCGAACGCGGCUACCUGGCCGAGUACUGAUUCUGACGAACUAAAGCGUGGCGCAGGAUCAGGAGUAGAUACCCUGGUACUCCACGCUGUUUACAAUGAAAACUAGCUGUUGGUUAUAUGAUAAUAAUUAUUGGCGCAGCACACGCGACCACUUGACCGCCCGGGGAGUACGGGCGCAAGAUUAAAACCCCCAUGAAUUGACGGCGGCCCGCACAGGCGGUGGACGCUGCGUUUUUUUUAAUAGCAUCCGAAUAACCUUCCCUACCCCUGACACACCCCGCAUUAGCAGAGAGGCAUUAUUGCCUUCUGGAGCGCCAUAGAGGCGCUGCAUGGGUGUC